CCUCCUCCUGCUCUUCCCCCUCCCCAAACUCCCCCCGCUCCGCCCGGCUCUCCGCGCAGCCGUGGGAUCUCGGAGGAGGGCGUCCAUUAGGCCGCGUGUGACCAUGUAAGGGCCCGCCCGUUGUUUGCUUGACCUUACGCGGUUAGUGUCGUUCAGGGUUCCCCCAAAUGCGCCGUGCGCUGAGCUUCCAUUGCUGGAAGGACUGCAGAGUCCGAUGAGAGACUUCCCUGUGCCCGUCGUCGCGAGAGCAGCGACAUCCACCCUAAUCGCCCUCCUCGGCUUCCCGCUCCUGACUCUGUGGGACUCCGCCUCGUGAUAUUUGCGAAAUUCUGCUUUCUAGAAGGAGCACGAUUCGAAAUUCAGUACUUCGCCCGGGGAAAUUAAACAGGAAUUACUGGGUCUGGGGAGAGCCCAGUUUCUCUACUUGGCGACGUCUGGAAUUCUGUGGGUCAGACCUACAGCGUCCACUGUGGGAGUGCAGCUGGCACGUUGGCUGGCGUUUAUGUGCACGGGACGUGCGGAGAUGUUUAGUGUUAUGUAGACACAUCUGUGGUGCUAGGGGAUGAAUGACAUGACAAAGUUAAACGUCGUACCUGAAUCAGGGGACAUCCGGCUACCACACGCGUGUGUUUGCACCAGGAUGAGGAGGCCUCUCUUUGAAAGGCCAGGUGGGCCUUUCCCAGAAGUAGGAAACCGCUUAGGGCCAUCACAUCCCAACUAAUGCCUUAACUUGAUCCUUAGGGUCGCUGGUGCUGCUGCUUACUGGUCGCUUACUGGUGUGGCUUUGAGCUCAGGGGCCCAGACCUUCUAAUUACCGCCUCAGAAACAGAGAGAGUGGGCUCUGCCUUGCGGGGUGGUUAUGAGGACUGCAAGUAACGUCUGUAACUCACCUGCCAUAGCAUAUGGGGCUAUUAGGUGGAUACUAAAUGUUGAGCCAUUAUCAUCUCCCGGUGAUAACUGAGUCAACUAAAUAAUAUAUCUGAACUAAUCAGACCCAUGGGGGGACAUACCAGAUUCUUGGAGAAAGAGGAGAGAGAGAGAAGCCUCUUGCCAAUUUGUAAUAAGUAUUACAAAUGUGUUUCUCGCGUGUGGGGGGAUACGGAAGAGGCCUUGGGAAAGCGCAAGUUCUUUUUUUUUUUUUUAAAUAAUAAAUUUAUUCUUUAUUGGUGUUCAAAUUGCCAACAUACAAAAUAACACCCAGUGCUCAUCCCGUCAAGUGCCCCCCUCAGUGCCCGUCACCCAUUCACCCCCACCCCCCACCCUCCUCCCCUUCCACCACCCCUAGUUCGUUUCCCAGAGUUAGGAGUCUUCAUGUUCUGCAAGUUCUUGAGUGAACAGAGGAAGUAAAGGAACUGAGACAUAGGGAACUCAAGAGGCAAAACACUAGGCAAAGCCAAAGCAUAUAAUUUGAUGUGUGAACUCAAGUGAACUUGAUUUCUGUUUUUUUGUGUUACACCAUUGCUAUUUUUGAGCGAAAUAUGACAUUUUUGUUAACUUGGGUUUGAAGAUUUUACAGAUAAUAGUGAACUAGUUAAACACUUUGAGUGUACCAGGCUGUGUGGGCACAUAAGCCCAUACAGUGGGCUUUUAUUAUAUACAGUGUCUCAUUUCAUCCUCACAACAACGUGAGGCAGGGACUUUUGUUAUAUCCAACUUUAUGGAUGACGGUAUGCAAGCUUAGAAAUAUUGGGUUGGUCAAGGUCCUACAACUAGGAAGCAGCUGAGGAGGGGCUCAAAUGUAGGAACGUCUGACUUUCAAGACUGCUUUGCAUGGGGGUCUCGGUGUAGUGAAAAACUUUUAAGUUUCUUGGGUUUUGUUUUUGUUUUUAUAUAUAUAUUUAUUUAUUCAUAAGAGACACACACACACAGAGGCAGAGACACAGGCAGAGGGAGAAGCAGGCUCCAUGCAGGGAGCUGGACGGGGGACUCUAUCCUGGGUCUCCGGGAUCAGGCCCUGGCCUAAAGGCAGUGCUAAACCGCUGAGCCACCUAGGCUGCCCAAGUUUCUUGUUUUAAGUCAAGAUUUGUUUACAAAAAUGCUUGGGUGUAGAGAAGGGGGGGCUUCCUUUGAGGUUUUUGUCCAUGUAAUAUCAGUCAUCCAACUUCCAGAAGAACUUAACCAAAAUCUUACAAUAUAAAUCCUGAAGAUCUCAUUAUGACUUUUUUCAAAGUUUUGUAGAAUAUUUUAGAAUUCAUGCUAAGAAAUUUAUGCAGUGAGGCACUUCUAAAGGCCCAUUAUCAAUAUCAGUCAUACUUAGCUACUUUUUAUAGCCUAGAGACCCUACGUUUGUUCACAUUGCAAAACACACACAAAGAACCUGAAUGUACAAAAUAAUCAACAAAUUAAGAUCACCGGAAACUUCGGCAGUCACACAAACCAAAAAUAAACAGCACGGCUCUAAGCACCAUAUAUUGAAUGCCUUCUCUAUACCUGGCAUUUUAUAGAUGUUCUCAUCUGGUCUUCACCACAGUCUUGUGACAGAGCUAUCAUGACUCCAUUUUCACAGAUGAAGGUAUCAAAGUUCAGAGAGAGAACACAAUUUACCCAUUAUCAUAUGUCUGUUAAGUGGCAGAAGCAGAUUCAAAUAUAGGUCUGAAUCCAAGAUGACUCCAAAGUCUGUGUCCUCCGCAUAUAUUAUCUUAUGAGACACUUAUACUAUUUUUAAUAAUAUCACCCUUUAGAAGUUAUCCUAUAGGAAACACCAAAGAGUAAAUAAUGUUAACCAGGAAACACCAAAGAGUAAAUCAUGUUAACCGCCCCCUCCCCAUGCCACCAAAACUAAGAAAUGAAACUAUUUUAUGAACAGCAUUUUAUGAAAAUGUAAUAUGUAAAUAGACACAACCAAGACAUCAGAGUGUUUCUACUAGAAAAGUCUGAUUCAUUAGUACAGGAAGUCCUUAUUAGCACUGUGUGAUUAGCACUGGUAAAACCUCCUUAAAAUAAAUCUACUUAAAGCAGAGACCAAAUUUCAGAGCAAUUGGUGAAAACUGGGCUUUACUUGAAAAUAAAAGUCAAUGUCGUUAAAAUGCAUUUAGUCUAUCUUUUAUGGAACAAGAUUUAUGUUGUAAGUACAAUUAUGUGUAAUUAUGGAAUGAAUAAACAAUAAAUCAA
Molecule: long non-coding RNA, 3111 nt
Organism: Canis lupus familiaris (dog)
Lineage: Eukaryota; Metazoa; Chordata; Mammalia; Carnivora; Canidae
Exons: 2
Source: RefSeq, a predicted model, not a curated record